Molecule: long non-coding RNA, 428 nt
Organism: Gasterosteus aculeatus aculeatus (three-spined stickleback)
Lineage: Eukaryota; Metazoa; Chordata; Actinopteri; Perciformes; Gasterosteidae
Source: Ensembl
UCUAAGUCCACGUGGCGUUGGAGCUCACUGAAUGUCUGUGACUGUGCAGAGCUUGUCGCUUGUUCUCAAAUGCAUCUGCAGGAAGAGAACAGAUCCACUUGUGCAAAAGUUGAAUAAGGACAGAAAGAGUCCGGUUGUGGACUGGAAAAUCUAAAUGAAAGAGGAGACCCAGUAGUGAGACUGUAAGGACGACGCAGCAUAACGGGCCUGAGAUCAUCUCUGCAGCUCGAGCAGCCCAGAACAACUCUGGCCCUCAAUGGAUCCUUCCUGACUUCCUCCCGGGUUGCAGAAGGGAGAAGUUUGCGAUUGGUUGCGGCCUCUCGGAUGUCGCCAAAUCCGGCGCACCUCACCUUCACCCGUCACACCACAAGGUGUCGCGUGACACUGAGCCAGCUGCUGUCUAAUCCGACGUUCUAAGCAAACUUCAG